This 311-nucleotide ribosomal RNA is filed under the name Trianguloscalpellum regium. Its description in RNAcentral is "partial 12S ribosomal RNA". The record is from RNAcentral. Lineage: Eukaryota; Metazoa; Arthropoda; Thecostraca; Scalpellidae.
AACGGAUUUGGCGGCAAAAUAUCCCAUCUAGAGGAACCUGCCCUAUAAAUGAUAUCCCACGAUUAAUUUUACUUUUAUUAGUGACCAGCUUGUAUAUCGCUGUUGUUAGUCAGUUUUCUUAGGAAACUUUCUUUAAUGAUCUAUUUCAUUGACUUCAAGUAAAGGUGCAGCUUAUGUAAAAGAAAGAGGUGGGUUACAUUUAUUAGAGUAAAAUGAAUUUAAAUAUGUAAAAAGUAAUGAAAAUGGAUUUAGAAGUAAUUUUUUUAUAACUAAUAUGAUAAGAGUAUUAUUUUGUGUACAUACCGCCCGUC